This is a long non-coding RNA of Tympanuchus pallidicinctus (lesser prairie-chicken), 349 nucleotides long. RefSeq lists it as uncharacterized. NCBI's taxonomy places the organism in Eukaryota, Metazoa, Chordata, Aves, Galliformes, Phasianidae. The transcript is spliced from 4 exons. The record is from RefSeq and is a predicted model, not a curated record.
CACUACCUUCCUGGAGGUCUUAGAGGGAGUUCAGUGUGUCAUCCCCAGGGACAAGUUUCUGGCCAUCACCAGUGCUGUGUUCUACCAGCUCUCUGACGACACCAAGCAGCACAGCGAGGCUGAUAGCGCAGAGCUGACCCACUGCAUCCUGCUGCAGGCCCGAAUGUGUCCAGAGGAAACCAUCCUGUUUCUUCAGUCGCAGCUGGAGAAUGAAUGGGAGCCUGGAUGUGUGGCAGCCCUGGGUCUGCUCGGCGCUCUGGCUCGCUCUGAUGAGCCCGUUGUUACAGAGAAGCUGCCCCUGGCUGCGGAGGCUGUGCAGCGUCUGUGCAGCGACCUCAGGCUCCGGGUG